Non-coding RNA from Populus trichocarpa (black cottonwood), 130 nucleotides. Lineage: Eukaryota; Viridiplantae; Streptophyta; Magnoliopsida; Malpighiales; Salicaceae. The record is from Rfam.
AAAAAAGCAGGGUCUUGUUGCCUUUUUGUGAACAAGGCUCUCGUAAACUUCAGGAAAAUUAAUUGCAUUGUUAUUGGGUGAACCUCUGUUGUUAUUGGUGGCUUAAGGUUCAGUAAAUGAUGGCACAUCU